RNAcentral lists this unclassified non-coding RNA (172 nucleotides) under uncultured fungus. RNAcentral describes it as "sequence contains ITS1, 5.8S rRNA gene". Lineage: Eukaryota; Fungi. The record is from RNAcentral.
UUAAAUGUUUUAUUGCCGGCUCUCUCAAGGUUAACGCUGAGAGAUUGAGCUAGCAAUAUACCAACCCCUUGUGAACUGUAAUUGUAUUUGGGCGUUUAGUUUUAUACUAAAUGCCCGCCUAUGUAUAAACACCCUUUUUAAUUUGACUGAUUAUAGAGAUAUAAAAGAGAAA